GAAGCGCGGCCCUGGCCAUGCUCUGUGAGGUCCUGGCCACUCUGACCUCACAAUGUCCUGCGUCUAUAAGAGGCCCAGGGCUCGGCCCUGCCUCACAGCCCACGAAGUUCCACCUCCUCACAGGUUGGCUGGCUCAGCUGAGGCUACCGUAGACGCAGCCACAGACCAAGGAGGCAAUGCCAUCCCAGACGGAGACAAAGGUGCAGCCGCCGUGGGUACACCCGGAGGGCCAGAAGACGCUAACUGCAGAAGAGCGAGGCCUCCGAACUCCUGCUGAAGACUUUGCCAGACCUCAAGACCGUCUUGCCACCUCUGACAAUGCCACCCUGCACUGAUACAGGAGCCUGCUAAGGAACAAUGCCGCCUGUCAAUAAAUGUCAAACUCAUCCCACUCAUGCCUUUGUCCUUGAUGGUUCGGUAGAGGGCUGGCCUGGAGGCGGAAGGGCUUGGCAAUGUGGCACAGUGGCACAGAAAGGAUGCUGGGAAGGGGGCCAUGAGAGUGACAGCUGUCACCGGGAUCCUGUCCAAAACUCAGUGACACGACAUGAGGAACAUCUGCUCCCAAACUGCCUACCUGUCUGACCCCU
RNAcentral lists this long non-coding RNA (587 nucleotides) under Heterocephalus glaber (naked mole-rat). Its description in RNAcentral is "lncRNA (ENSHGLG00100047869.1)". Lineage: Eukaryota; Metazoa; Chordata; Mammalia; Rodentia; Bathyergidae. The record is from RNAcentral.